UCGCGGAAUGUGGUGUUUAGGAGGACCGUGCGCGUCUGUCCGGUAUCGUCCAAGUCUCCAUGAAUGGGGCCAGCAACCCAGAGAGGGUGUCNNGCCCGUGGGACGAGCCGCGACGGCGUAUUGGGUCUCUCCUUAGAGUCGGGUUGCUUGAGAGUGCAGCCCUAAGCGGGAGGUAAACUCCUUCUAAGGCUAAAUACGGCCACGAGACCGAUAGCGAACAAGUACCGCGAGGGAAAGUUGAAAAGAACUUUGAAGAGAGAGUUCAAUAGUGCGUGAAACCGUUCAGGGGGUUAAACGGGUGGGCCCUCGAAGGUCGAACGGUCCCCAUUCCAGUCAUUCGCAGGCCGGUCCGCGUCGUUUAUCCGAUCUCGCUACGGGACGGUGCGGCGCGGGUCGCCGGUCUACGAGGGCCGCAAGUUGGGGACCCAGUAGGACUCCGCAACCGUCUGGGAGGCCGUCAGAAGGGUUCCGGUAGGAAGCCCCCUCGGGGGUGGACUCUGGGAUUUCCGGGCGGUCCUCCCGGCCGUAAACCUGCAUUCUCUCGAACGGUGCGUGGGACGAGCCUCGGUUCGCAAGGGCCGGGGUUGUCGGUUUCACAGCCGCCGGGAGACGCGGCGGAGAGUAGAGUCGGGUCCCACCCGACCCGUCUUGAAACACGGACCAAGGAGUCUAACAUGUGCGCGAGUCGUCGGGUUUGACUAAACCCGAAGGCGCAAUGAAAGUGAAGACCGUCCUCGUUGGCGUGUCUAGGGGAGAUCCCGU
RNAcentral lists this ribosomal RNA (762 nucleotides) under Eocyzicus parooensis. RNAcentral's name for it is "eukaryotic LSU rRNA". It matches the Rfam family "Eukaryotic large subunit ribosomal RNA", at positions 136 to 746 of the family's 3401-position model. The record is from RNAcentral. Lineage: Eukaryota; Metazoa; Arthropoda; Branchiopoda; Diplostraca; Eocyzicidae.